UACUCGAUGACUGAAAAGUAAGUAUAGAUCUUUUAAAUCUAAAAUAGUAAUUUUACACCUACUUCGAGU
This 69-nucleotide transfer RNA is filed under the name Helicana japonica. Its description in RNAcentral is "tRNA-Lys". The record is from RNAcentral. Lineage: Eukaryota; Metazoa; Arthropoda; Malacostraca; Decapoda; Varunidae.